Long non-coding RNA from Mauremys reevesii (Reeves's turtle), 1018 nucleotides. RefSeq lists it as uncharacterized. Lineage: Eukaryota; Metazoa; Chordata; Testudines; Geoemydidae. The transcript has 3 exons. The record is from RefSeq and is a predicted model, not a curated record.
AGCUACAUUGAUUGGAGCACCUGCAGCCAAUCAGAGCAGGCUAAUCAGGGUACCUGGUAUAAAAAGGGGACCUCACUCCAGUCAAGGGAGGAGGAGCCAAAGGAAGGAAGUGUGUAUGAGGAGCUGGGGGCCAGAGACACAAGGAACUAAGAACUGAGAAGAUGUACUACUGGAGGAUUGAGGAGACACCAUACAAUCAAGCAGUAUCAGACACCAGGAGGAUCCUAUGUAUACCGAGAACAGGAUAGCUGUGGGGACAGCUCCUUCUUGAUACUCACCCAUGCAGAGCCCCAGAUUGUGCAUGCCAGCAGGUCCAGAACUAUGCUGAAGAACAGCAAGGGUCAGUGGGCAGUCCUGCCUUGUUCCCCUCUGUAAUGAGAAUGGUUCUGAAAUACUCUUGGGUGAUCACCCAAGAUGGGGGUCAGGAUAGAGCAAUUUAAUCCAAUUGAUAAAGUGGUCACUAAAUCCCAUUCUCUCAUGGACUAUAAAAACAUAAUUCCAAGCAACUCAAUCAAAGGCUUUUUCAGAGUCUAGUGAUGCUACUAAAGGUUCCUGUGAGUGUUGUGAGGUUGCAAUCAUAUCAAUGAGCUGCCAAUGAGUUUUACACAGUCAUUCUUCUCUCAAAGAUGUGAAGAUUCAGGUGUCAGCCUUUAGGAAUUCUUGAAACGAUAAUACUACAUGCAGAAAAAAAUCCAUUAUCUUACACACACCAAAAAAAAAAGCCUCAGAAGGAUUAUGAAAUAUCAGUGUUUUUGUCUGUAAGUACCUAAUUCAUUCAAUUUAAGUUCUGCUAAUCUUUUUUUUUUUAAACUGACCUGAUGUGUUACAAAUUUGUGUACAUUUCAAUAGGAACCAGUUCUGUAGUCAUUAAAAAAAGGAAAAGAUUAGUUAUAUGUAGUAGAGUCCUCAAGAGUUGCAAACCAGUUUUAAAUCCUACAAAGCAAUAGUCUGUAACUAUGUUAAGUGGUUUUUUCACAACAUUACUGAUGAGAACAUUUGAAUUCUUCCUACAUUAAAA